CAGGCCUAACACAUGCAAGUCGAACGGUAACAGGAAACAGCUUGCUGUUUCGCUGACGAGUGGCGGACGGGUGAGUAAUGUCUGGGAAACUGCCUGAUGGAGGGGGAUAACUACUGGAAACGGUAGCUAAUACCGCAUAACGUCGCAAGACCAAAGAGGGGGACCUUCGGGCCUCUUGCCAUCGGAUGUGCCCAGAUGGGAUUAGCUAGUAGGUGGGGUAACGGCUCACCUAGGCGACGAUGCGUAGCCGACCUGAGAGGAUGACCAGCCACACUGGAACUGAGACACGGUCCAGACUCCUACGGGAGGCAGCAGUGGGGAAUAUUGCACAAUGGGCGCAAGCCUGAUGCAGCCAUGCCGCGUGUAUGAAGAUGGCCUUCGGGUUGUAAAGUACUUUCAGCGGGGAGGAAGGGAGUAAAGUUAAUACCUUUGCUCAUUGACGUUACCCGCAGAAGAAGCACCGGCUAACUCCGUGCCAGCAGCCGCGGUAAUACGGAGGGUGCAAGCGUUAAUCGGAAUUACUGGGCGUAAAGCGCACGCAGGCGGUUUGUUAAGUCAGAUGUGAAAUCCCCGGGCUCAACCUGGGAACUGCAUCUGAUACUGGCAAGCUUGAGUCUCGUAGAGGGGGGUAGAAUUCCAGGUGUAGCGGUGAAAUGCGUAGAGAUCUGGAGGAAUACCGGUGGCGAAGGCGGCCCCCUGGACGAAGACUGACGCUCAGGUGCGAAAGCGUGGGGAGCAAACAGGAUUAGAUACCCUAGUAGUCCACGCCGUAAACGAUGUCGACUUGGAGGUUGUGCCCUUGAGGCGUGGCUUCCGGAGCUAACGCGUUAAGUCGACCGCCUGGGAGUACGGCCGCAAGGUUAAAACUCAAAUGAAUUGACGGGGGCCCGCACAAGCGGUGGAGCAUGUGGUUUAAUUCGAUGCAACGCGAAGAACCUUACCUGGUCUUGACAUCCACAGAACUUUCCAGAGAUGGAUUGGUGCCUUCGGGAACUGUGAGACAGGUGCUGCAUGGCUGUCGUCAGCUCGUGUUGUGAAAUGUUGGGUUAAGUCCCGCAACGAGCGCAACCCUUAUCCUUUGUUGCCAGCGGUCCGGCCGGGAACUCAAAGGAGACUGCCAGUGAUAAACUGGAGGAAGGUGGGGAUGACGUCAAGUCACCAUGGCCCUUACGACCAGGGCUACACACGUGCUACAAUGGCGCAUACAAAGAGAAGCGACCUCGCGAGAGCAAGCGGACCUCAUAAAGUGCGUCGUAGUCCGGAUUGGAGUCUGCAACUCGACUCCAUGAAGUCGGAAUCGCUAGUAAUCGUGGAUCAGAAUGCCACGGUGAAUACGUUCCCGGGCCUUGUACACUCCGCCC
Molecule: ribosomal RNA, 1361 nt
Filed under: uncultured bacterium
Lineage: Bacteria
Description: bacterial SSU rRNA
Rfam family: Bacterial small subunit ribosomal RNA
Source: RNAcentral